Molecule: long non-coding RNA, 89 nt
Organism: Melanotaenia boesemani (Boeseman's rainbowfish)
Lineage: Eukaryota; Metazoa; Chordata; Actinopteri; Atheriniformes; Melanotaeniidae
Exons: 3
Source: RefSeq, a predicted model, not a curated record
AACCUGAACAUGAAGAAUAUACGAAUGCAUCUGUGAUGGACUAAUGAGAAUAAAUUAGGGGAAAAAAAGUACUUCACACAAUCAAAGUA